Molecule: non-coding RNA, 103 nt
Filed under: Frankia sp.
Lineage: Bacteria; Bacillati; Actinomycetota; Actinomycetes; Frankiales; Frankiaceae
Also listed under: 1 other name
Description: SAM-IV sequence
Rfam family: SAM (S-adenosyl methionine) riboswitch aptamer
About the family: SAM-IV is a mRNA element that regulates gene expression via direct sensing of S-adenosylmethionine (SAM or AdoMet). SAM-IV riboswitches share conserved nucleotide positions with the previously described SAM-I riboswitches sequence analysis and molecular recognition experiments suggest that SAM-I and SAM-IV riboswitches share similar ligand binding sites, but have different scaffolds.
Source: RNAcentral
GGUCAUGAGUGUCGGCAGCAGGCCCUGGCUCGCUGACCGGCAACCUCCCGCGCGGCGGGUGCUCCAGGUGAGGCCGGCUGGGACGAUCCCGGUUCCCCAGGCC